UCCCUCCAGAUUCCAUACCCACCAGACCUAAACAUUGGCCUCAGUGGUUAUAAAAAGAGGAAAAGUAAAACUGAAACUGGCUUAAAUGAUUUCAUGACACAAGCUUGUUUCUAACAGAC
This is a small nucleolar RNA of Echinops telfairi (small Madagascar hedgehog), 119 nucleotides long. RefSeq annotates it as small nucleolar RNA SNORA61. The record is from RefSeq and is a predicted model, not a curated record. NCBI's taxonomy places the organism in Eukaryota, Metazoa, Chordata, Mammalia, Afrosoricida, Tenrecidae. The transcript has a single exon.